AAAAAAAAAAAAAAAAAUCUUAUAAUAAUUUACCUCUUUGCUAUUAUGUUAAUAAUCAUUGAUUUUUGAAGUAAAAAUCAUGUACAUCAGACUUCCCCCUAAUACAUGGGAUUUAGUCCCAACUUCAUGUCUAUGGAGAACCAUUUGAUUAAACCGAAGAAGUCCCACCCUUUUUAUUGUGACAGGUCUUCAUAAUUUUACCUUUUGAUUCUUAUGAAUCUUCACAAAUUCUUUGGUAUCUGCAACAUCAUUUGAUUGUCUUUGUUGUUUGCACCUAUGGUUGAUCUUUUGGAAUCUUGGUAUGAUAAUUUAGUGUAAACAAUGUAUGUAACUUGUGUUAUUAUUUUAUGUUGUGAAAAAAGAUUGCAUUAUUCAAUUGGCUUGUAAACUAGUCAAGUUAUUCAAAAUAAUUUGCCCCUUUUCUGAGUUUAAUUUGGCAAUUUUUGGUUAAUUUACAAUGCAUAAAAUUUGUUCUCACGCAAUGGAUAUAUAUGGUGGGUUUUUAUAUGAUAUAUGCGUACUGUUGCUAAUGUUGUUGAUUGGGAUUUUGAAAAUU
RNAcentral lists this unclassified non-coding RNA (556 nucleotides) under Hevea brasiliensis (rubber tree). The record is from RNAcentral. Lineage: Eukaryota; Viridiplantae; Streptophyta; Magnoliopsida; Malpighiales; Euphorbiaceae.